This 250-nucleotide ribosomal RNA is filed under the name uncultured prokaryote. RNAcentral describes it as "partial 16S ribosomal RNA". It matches the Rfam family "Bacterial small subunit ribosomal RNA", at positions 524 to 773 of the family's 1533-position model. The record is from RNAcentral.
UACGGAGGAUCCGAGCGUUAUCCGGAUUUAUUGGGUUUAAAGGGAGCGUAGGCGGGAGCUCAAGUCAGCUGUGAAAUGUACACGCUCAACGUGUGCACUGCAGUUGAAACUGGGUUUCUUGAGUGCGUAAGGGGCAGGCGGAAUUCGUCGUGUAGCGGUGAAAUGCUUAGAUAUGACGAAGAACUCCGAUCGCGAAGGCAGCUUGCCGGGGCGCAACUGACGCUGAAGCUCGAAGGUGCGGGUAUCGAAC